CUUGCAGUUCGAUCGGAGCAUUUGAGGUCUUUGACAAUUGAAUAUUGAUGGGCAAAUCUACGAAUAGCGAGUUCAAUAUUUUAGAAGAGCGCCUUAGGCAAGUUGAUGAUCAAGCUACUAAGAGCAUACGGUGGAUGCCUAGGCAAUGGAAGGCGAUGAAGGACGUGGUAAGCUGCGAUAAGCCCCGGGGAGCCGCAAACAGGCAUUAUAUCCGGGGAUUUCCGAAUGGGGGAACCCUCUCCAGAGACACUGGAGAAGCUCUCGACUGAAUUCAUAGGUUGGGAGCGGCGAACUCGGGGAAGUGAACCAUCUUAGUACCCGAAGGAAGAGAAAACAAAUCAGUGAUUCCGUCAGUAGCGGCGAGCGAACACGGAACAGCCCAAACCGGUCGGUCUUCGGAUCGACUGGGGUUGUAGGGCCUGCCCGGUUUAGAGUCGGCGAGUUACCAACCGAUCCGUUAGCAGAACAGUCUGGAAGGACUGGCGAUACAGGGUGAUAGCCCCGUAAGCGAAAACGGUGAGGCUCGUGGCAGGUACCUGAGUAACGCGGGACACGUGGAACCCUGCGUGAAUCUACGACGACCAUGUCGUAAGGCUAAAUACUCUCCAUUGACCGAUAGUGAACCAGUACCGUGAGGGAAAGGCGAAAAGAACCCCUGCGAGGGGAGUGAAAAGAACCUGAAACCGUGUGCUUACAAGCAGUGGAAGGGCUAUGUCGCAAGACAGCCUGACCGCGUGCCUAUUGCAUAAUGAGCCGGCUAGUUA
This 764-nucleotide ribosomal RNA is filed under the name uncultured bacterium. RNAcentral describes it as "bacterial LSU rRNA". The stretch from base 108 to 764 matches the Rfam family "Bacterial large subunit ribosomal RNA", at positions 1 to 630 of the family's 2925-position model. The record is from RNAcentral.